CGGAGCAAUCUGUGUGAGUGGCGGACGGGUGAGUAACACGUGGGUACCUACCCUGUGGUGAGGAAUACCGGCGAGAAAUCGCCGACAAUACCGCAUAUCUUUGCUUUGCAAAGAAAGCUCGCAAGAGCGCCAUGGGAAGGGCCUGCGGCCGAUUAGCUAGUUGGUGGGGUAAAAGCCUACCAAGGCGACGAUCGGUAGCUGGUCUGAGAGGAUGAUCAGCCACACUGGGAUUGAGAACGGCCCAGACUCCUACGGGGGGCAGCAGUGAGGAAUAUUCGUCAAUGGGGGAAACCCUGAACGAGCAACGCCGCGUGCAGGAAGAAGGUUUUCGGA
Molecule: ribosomal RNA, 333 nt
Filed under: uncultured bacterium
Lineage: Bacteria
Description: bacterial SSU rRNA
Rfam family: Bacterial small subunit ribosomal RNA
Source: RNAcentral